This 233-nucleotide unclassified non-coding RNA is filed under the name uncultured fungus. Its description in RNAcentral is "sequence contains ITS1, 5.8S rRNA gene". The stretch from base 185 to 233 matches the Rfam family "5.8S ribosomal RNA", at positions 1 to 49 of the family's 154-position model. Lineage: Eukaryota; Fungi. The record is from RNAcentral.
UCUCCGUAGGUGAACCUGCGGAGGGAUCAUUACCGAGUGAGGGCCUCCGGGUCCGACCUCCAACCCUUUGUCUACCGACCCUGUUGCCUCGGGGGUGACCCGGCGCUCUCGCGAGUGCCCCGGGGCCCCCGGUGGACCGUCAAACACUGCAUCUGUGCGUCCGAGUCAUAUUUGAAUAAAUCAAAACUUUCAACAACGGAUCUCUUGGUUCUGGCAUCGAUGAAGAACGCAGC